UACGUAGGUCCCGAGCGUUGUCCGGAUUUAUUGGGCGUAAAGCGAGCGCAGGUGGUUUAUUAAGUCUGGUGUAAAAGGCAGUGGCUCAACCAUUGUAUGCAUUGGAAACUGGUAGACUUGAGUGCAGGAGGGGAGAGUGGAAUUCCAUGUGUAGCGGUGAAAUGCGUAGAUAUAUGGAGGAACACCGGUGGCGAAAGCGGCUCUCUGGCCUGUAACUGACACUGAGGCUCGAAAGCGUGGGGAGCAAACAGG
RNAcentral lists this ribosomal RNA (252 nucleotides) under uncultured bacterium. Its description in RNAcentral is "partial 16S ribosomal RNA". It matches the Rfam family "Bacterial small subunit ribosomal RNA", at positions 524 to 776 of the family's 1533-position model. The record is from RNAcentral.